RNAcentral lists this transfer RNA (74 nucleotides) under bacterium. RNAcentral's name for it is "tRNA-His". It matches the Rfam family "tRNA". From Rfam's summary of the family: Transfer RNA (tRNA) molecules are approximately 80 nucleotides in length. Their secondary structure includes four short double-helical elements and three loops (D, anti-codon, and T loops). The record is from RNAcentral.
GUGGCCAUGGUGUAGUGGUAACACUAGAGGUUGUGGUCCUCUCGUCACGGGUUCGAUCCCCGUUGGCCACCCCA